ACUGGUCCCACAGCCACUGGUCCGACAGGCACUGCACAAGGCGGAGGUACUGGUCCGACAGGCACUGGUCCAACAGGUACGGGUCCGACAGGAACUGCUCCGACAGGUACUGGUCCGACAGGUACUGGUCCUACAGGCGUAGUUUAAGCGUUUUAAGUUGAUGCAGAUAUCAUCAUUCCAACCGCGCUAUUCGAAGCGAUAGCAAAGGCGCAUGGUUGCAUUAAUUGCGGUAAAGUAGUGGUUGGGGUCAGAUUAGUCAUUGAUGGUCUCAGGUCGUAAGUCAGUGUUUACUAAAAUACACCUCUAGCUACUAAUGGAUUGAUGAAUAAAGCAUAAACAGCAGCAAACAAA
Molecule: long non-coding RNA, 351 nt
Organism: Anopheles darlingi
Lineage: Eukaryota; Metazoa; Arthropoda; Insecta; Diptera; Culicidae
Exons: 2
Source: RefSeq, a predicted model, not a curated record